UGGGGAAUAUUGCACAAUGGGCGAAAGCCUGAUGCAGCAACGCCGCGUGAGCGAUGAAGGCCUUCGGGUCGUAAAGCUCUGUCCUCAAGGAAGAUAAUGACGGUACUUGAGGAGGAAGCCCCGGCUAACUACGUGCCAGCAGCCGCGGUAAUACGUAGGGGGCUAGCGUUAUCCGGAAUUACUGGGCGUAAAGGGUGCGUAGGUGGUUUCUUAAGUCAGAGGUGAAAGGCUACGGCUCAACCGUAGUAAGCCUUUGAAACUGGGAAACUUGAGUGCAGGAGAGGAGAGUGGAAUUCCUAGUGUAGCGGUGAAAUGCGUAGAUAUUAGGAGGAACACCAGUUGCGAAGGCGGCUCUCUGGACUGUAACUGACACUGAGGCACGAAAGCGUGGGGAGCAAACAGGAUUAGAUACCC
RNAcentral lists this ribosomal RNA (414 nucleotides) under uncultured bacterium. Its description in RNAcentral is "bacterial SSU rRNA". It matches the Rfam family "Bacterial small subunit ribosomal RNA", at positions 355 to 787 of the family's 1533-position model. The record is from RNAcentral.